AACGAACGCUGGCGGCAGGCUUAACACACGCAAGUCGAACGCAACCUUCGGGGUGAGUGGCAGACGGGUGAGUAACGCGGGGGAACGCGUACUUCAGUUCGGGAUAUACCAGGGGAACUUGGGCUAAGACAGGGUAGGUGAGACAGCAGAAAGAUUUAUCGAGGAAGGAGCGGCCCGCGUGUGAUUAACUAGUUGGUGGGGUAAUGGCGCACCAAGGCGACGUUCAGUAGCCUGUAUGAGAGGAUCAUCAGCGACCUUGGGAGGGGGAGACGGCCCGAACUCCUACGGGAGGCAGCAGUGGGUAAUAUUGGACAAUGGGCGCAAUCCUGAUCCAGCCAUGCCUCGUGAGUGAUGAAGGCCUUAGGGUUGUAAAGCACUUUCGUCCGGGACAAUAAUGACGGUACCUGAAGAAGAAGCCCCGGCUAACUACGUGCCAGCCGCCGCCGUAG
RNAcentral lists this ribosomal RNA (449 nucleotides) under uncultured bacterium. RNAcentral's name for it is "partial 16S ribosomal RNA". It matches the Rfam family "Bacterial small subunit ribosomal RNA", at positions 29 to 523 of the family's 1533-position model. The record is from RNAcentral.